GACAGAGGUGGCAAGCGUUGUUCGGAAUUACUGGGCUUAAAGGGCGCGUAGGCGGUGGAGUAAGUCCGGGGUGGAAGGCUGAGGCUUAACCUCAGGAUUGCCCUGGAAACUGCAUCACUUGAGUCAGCAAGGGGAUGGCGGAAUUCCUGGUGUAGCGGUGAAAUGCGUAGAUAUCAGGAGGAAGGCCGGUGGCGAAGGCGGCCAUCUGGUGCUGAACUGACGCUGAGGCGCGAAAGCGUGGGGAGCAAACAGG
RNAcentral lists this ribosomal RNA (253 nucleotides) under uncultured bacterium. RNAcentral describes it as "partial 16S ribosomal RNA". It matches the Rfam family "Bacterial small subunit ribosomal RNA", at positions 524 to 776 of the family's 1533-position model. The record is from RNAcentral.